This 427-nucleotide ribosomal RNA is filed under the name uncultured prokaryote. RNAcentral's name for it is "bacterial SSU rRNA". It matches the Rfam family "Bacterial small subunit ribosomal RNA", at positions 355 to 774 of the family's 1533-position model. The record is from RNAcentral.
UAGGGAAUAUUGCGCAAUGGACGAAAGUCUGACGCAGCAACGCCGCGUGGGUGAUGAAGUUCCUUGGAGCGUAAAACCCUGUCAGUGGGGAAGAAACGUACGGGGAGUAACUGCCUCGUACCUGACGGUACCUACAGAGGAAGUCCCGGCUAACUCCGUGCCAGCAGCCGCGGUAAUACGGAGGGGACAAGCGUUGUUCGGAUUUACUGGGCGUAAAGGGCGCGUAGGCGGACCUUCAAGUCGGAUGUGAAAACCAGCAGCUUAACUGCUGGCCUGCAUUCGAUACUGUUGGCCUUGAGUACGAGAGAGGAGAGUGGAAUUCCAGGUGUAGCGGUGAAAUGCGUAGAUAUCUGGAAGAACACCAGUAGCGAAGGCGGCUCUCUGGCUCGAUACUGACGCUUAAGCGCGAAGGCAUGGGGAGCAAACA